This 1088-nucleotide ribosomal RNA is filed under the name Xylanibacter ruminicola. Its description in RNAcentral is "bacterial SSU rRNA". It matches the Rfam family "Bacterial small subunit ribosomal RNA", at positions 388 to 1486 of the family's 1533-position model. Lineage: Bacteria; Pseudomonadati; Bacteroidota; Bacteroidia; Bacteroidales; Prevotellaceae. The record is from RNAcentral.
CCAGCCAAGUAGCGUGCAGGAUGACGGCCCUAUGGGUUGUAAACUGCUUUUAUAUAGGGAUAAAGUCGGGGACGUGUCCCCGUUUGUAGGUACUAUAUGAAUAAGGACCGGCUAAUUCCGUGCCAGCAGCCGCGGUAAUACGGAAGGUCCGGGCGUUAUCCGGAUUUAUUGGGUUUAAAGGGAGCGCAGGCUGAUGAUUAAGCGUGACGUGAAAUGUAGCCGCUCAACGGCUGAACUGCGUCGCGAACUGGUUAUCUUGAGUGAGUUCGAUGUUGGCGGAAUUCGUGGUGUAGCGGUGAAAUGCUUAGAUAUCACGAAGAACUCCGAUUGCGAAGGCAGCCAACAAGGCCUUUACUGACGCUAAAGCUCGAAGGUGCGGGUAUCGAACAGGAUUAGAUACCCUGGUAGUCCGCACGGUAAACGAUGGAUGCCCGCUGUUUGCGAUAUACUGUGAGCGGCCAAGAGAAAUCGUUAAGCAUCCCACCUGGGGAGUACGCCGGCAACGGUGAAACUCAAAGGAAUUGACGGGGGCCCGCACAAGCGGAGGAACAUGUGGUUUAAUUCGAUGAUACGCGAGGAACCUUACCCGGGCUUGAACUGCCAGUGAACGAUACAGAGAUGUUGAGGCCCUUCGGGGCGCUGGUGGAGGUGCUGCAUGGUUGUCGUCAGCUCGUGCCGUGAGGUGUCGGCUUAAGUGCCAUAACGAGCGCAACCCUUUUCAUUAGUUGCCAUCAGGUGAUGCUGGGCACUCUGGUGAUACUGCCACCGUAAGGUGUGAGGAAGGUGGGGAUGACGUCAAAUCAGCACGGCCCUUACGUCCGGGGCUACACACGUGUUACAAUGGGAGGUACAGAGAGUCGGUGCAUGGCAAUAUGCAUCUAAUCCUAAAAGCCUUCCUCAGUUCGGAUUGGGGUCUGCAACCCGACCCCAUGAAGCUGGAUUCGCUAGUAAUCGCGCAUCAGCCAUGGCGCGGUGAAUACGUUCCCGGGCCUUGUACACACCGCCCGUCAAGCCAUGAAAGCCGGGGGCGCUUGAAGUCCGUGACCGCAAGGAUCGGCCUAGAGCGAAACUGGUAAUUGGGGCUAAGU